UGGUAGAUGCACCCUGAUUGACGUUUCCCGGCUCUUUUGAGCCGGUUUUUUUU
RNAcentral lists this small RNA (53 nucleotides) under Oxynema acuminatum PCC 6304. Its description in RNAcentral is "Oscillatoria acuminata PCC 6304 Nitrogen stress-induced RNA 1". It matches the Rfam family "Nitrogen stress-induced RNA 1". Lineage: Bacteria; Bacillati; Cyanobacteriota; Cyanophyceae; Oscillatoriales; Oscillatoriaceae. The record is from Rfam by way of RNAcentral.